GAAGAAUCAGCCGGGGCCGAGGCUGCAGUUGUUAUGUCCACUGAUGUUACUGGAUUGUCCAUCUUGUAGCUAACAUCAACCCUUACCCCAGCGACGAAAUGUGGUCGUACUUGGUGUGGCAUUGAUGGAGAAGCUGACAGAGAAAGGUGAAGCUUCAAGGCUGUCGGUUGCAGUCAUCCGCAAGCGUCAGAAACUCCCUAACACUUCAGGGGGGUGAAAAGUGGUCUAGAGCAAGAGUGUCGGUGGUCCAGAGUAAAGGAUGGAGAUGAAGUGAAGCUUAAGGACGCCAUGGGAGGACAAGGCCUGCACCUUCACCUGAGCCUGGUUUCAGUUAUGCCUGGUAAAGACAUCCUGGGCC
This is a long non-coding RNA of Sardina pilchardus (European sardine), 358 nucleotides long. RefSeq lists it as uncharacterized. The record is from RefSeq and is a predicted model, not a curated record. The transcript has 3 exons. Lineage: Eukaryota; Metazoa; Chordata; Actinopteri; Clupeiformes; Clupeidae.